CUUCGACUGUGGGGGAGUGAAAGACAGAAGACAGAUGCAUUGGCUGCCAGCUAAUCUUGACAUCCACUUUUUCUUUCCUCACCCUGGCAGCCAGCAGUUGCAGACACGUGUACAGGCUAAACCCUUCGGUACCAGGAGCGGAUCCGCACGCAUCUCCCGCUCUGUCUGCCUGCCCGUCUCGCCCCUGCCACCCUCCGCACCCCUCCUCGGCUCCUUUGCCACUCCGGGAGGGGUGGGAGGAGGAACUGCACUUUCUUUUUGUGCGUGUGAGCGCACCUUUUUCCUCACCGACGUCCUCUCUCGCAGCCUUUUCCAACCCCGCGUCGAGAUUUUUGUGUAUUUGUUUUCUUUUCCACGCUCGCAGUUCUUUCUUUCUUCUCACCCGAGCGAUGCAGGAGGAGUUGGGAAGCUCAGGGACGGAUGGGGGGUUCGCUUAUCCAUUUUUCCCCCGUCGCCAGCUCUUGAAGGACCAGCAGAAAAACUAAGCCAAACAUUUAUUUUCCGACCGGGUCUCCCCCCCCUCCCGCCGCUCUCCGCCGGACCAGCGAAUUAACAAAACCCCACGUUACACCAAAAAAAAAAAAAAAAAAAAAAAAAAAAAAGGGGGGGAAAAACUAAAACCCUAAAACCACCAAAACAAAAAGCAGAGAGGGGAGAAGAAGGAGGGUGCGAAGCGCUGUCACCCCGACCCGCGGCGGGCACCGGGCCGGGCACCGGCGGAACAAAGCCGGCACCGGGCUCCGGGAGGAGAGGCCGGGGGGCGGGGGAGAGGGAGCAGCCCCGGCUGGUGCUAUCUCCGCAUCCCUUUUGUUAUUGAUCGCCAGGACGAAGAGCCGGGGAGACGGCACUUUCCAGCGCAAUUUAAUUUUAUUUUAUUUUUUCCCCCCCCCCCCAAACGCGACUCGCAGCUUUUGCUGCCCCGAAUUAACGGGCGGAGGCGGACUUUGAUGGGGAAACGCUUUUUCCUCCCCGAUGCAUCGUAAGUAACUUAAGUUAUUAUUUAUACUCCGCAAAACAAGCACGGCGAUAACAUCUCCCAUCUCUGGAGCGCUGGAGGCCGCGGCGAGGGAUGAGAGCUGCCCUUCCCCAUCCGAGCAGGACACUUUUCCGCUCGUAAUUCAUUUGAUUUGAUUUUGAUUUUUUAAAUUUUCCAUGCUCCGCUCCCGGAGGAUCAUUUGAACUGUAAAGGAAUCGCCGAGGGGGCGAGGGGACCCGGAGACAGCGGCUGUGCAAACGACUCCACCGAGGUAAGCAGCCCUAACAAUAUAUCCCUUUUCCAGGUAGCACGGGCAUGGCUUUAGUAGGGGGGAUGAGAAGGGGAGAGGAAAUAAAAGCAAAGUCUCUUUCUGGUUCGGAUAGCCAAAACGGAACGUCUGGAUAAAACCAAGCAGGAAAAUUCGACACACACCGUGGAGAAACCUUUAAGCAACUUUCUCCACGAACCACCUCUGUAAUUGCCCGUUUUCCUACAACCGCCCUACAAAUCCUCCUCCUGGUAGCGUGCUUUCUCCUCUACCCGCUCACUUGGAUCUCAGUUGAGAGGUGAUUUUAUUUUUAAUUUUAUUUUAUUCGCCCUCGCUGAUAUCGCUGAUAGCUGACCUGCGCGCUGGCCGCUUUUAUUUCCUACCCGUGCCUCGUGGGCCUGCUUAGUGCAAGGCUCCUUACCAAAACAGAGGGGACGAAGCCCUUCCGACGGCCCUGGCCAGCGGCGGCUCCUUUUGGGGCAUCUCCUCUGCCCCUCCGCCGCCCCGGGGCUUCCCCGGGGAGCGCUCUCCCUCGCCCGAUCGGUGCCCCUCCAUUAUGCUCCUUAUUAUUUCUGCUUCUAACGUCUUCGAUUUUUUAUAUAUAUAUAUUUUUUAUUUAUUAUUUUUUUUCCCCUGUGACCCGAGGGGGGAGACUUUGCCUGGAAACUUUACGUGGAAACACCCGGCGAUCUGAAUUCUGGGGAGGUGGUGUGCCCUCCUCCCCACCUCGCCCGACACCCCAGCCCUGUGCACACACGCACACGCACACACACAUUUGUGUCCAAGGUUAUUCACGAGGUGCCUGAUGUAUUGUUUUAUUACAUGCCGGCAUGUCCACGUACGCGCUCGGAUUUGUAUUGCUGUCUACAUGACAGAUGGUGCUCUGUGAGGCCGCAAGAAGAUACGAUUCAAUUUUCUUUUGAAAGGCACGUCCGCAUUUAUUUAUUUAUUUCCCCUUUCUUUCCCCCCACCCUUUUCGCGCAGGGAGGGGAGAGGAGGGAAAAUUUAAAGGAAUGGAAAAGUUCGGCCGCUGCUUUGGGGUUUUGGUUCUUUUUAUUAUUAUUUUGUUUUUGUUUUGAAUCUCACCCCUAAAAAACAAAUCCUGAGAGCCUCCAAACGUCCCCAUUGGGUCGCUGGCAAGCUGCUAUCUGAGCACAAUUAGCAGCAGGAAAAAUAAUAAUAAUAAUAGUGACAGUAAUAGAAAGAGGAGCUCACAGAAAAGAGCAGGAGGAGAGCCCAGCAGCUCCACCAGAUCCCGCAGGUCUGACCAGGGAAAUAAAUUUCCCCACUGGCCUUGCUGUGCUCGGGGAGCCUUGAGCCGUGUGUCUGUCUCCCCUUUUAAAAGCAUCGUGCCAGCGGCCCGGAGCCCGAAAGAGAAACGGUGGAGCAGAGCUUGGCAGGGGAGGACGUGCGAUGGAGGAAAACAAACCAGCCCGAUGCUAAGCCUCUGGACGCUAGUUUAUUAGAAAUAAAUCCGCAUCCUCUUUUAUCGCUCCCCGGGCCUGUUUCUACACAGGGGGGAGUAGCGGGAGCACACGCGGGACACGGGGCGGUGCUGCGGGUCGGGGGCGCUGACCCCCUUCUCUCUGCUUCUCUGUCCCGGGAAGGCUCCUCCGCCCCCUCCACGAUGAUGCUCAGCCCGGACCAAGCGGCAGACUCCGACCACCCCUCCUCGGCGCCCUCCGACCCCGAGUCCCUGGGGGGCGCGGACCCCCGGGCUCUGGGCUGCUGCGCCUCCGACCCGGAGCCGGCCGAGGGCGGCGGGGGCGGCGGCGGCGGGGGCGGCGGGGAGGGUCGUGCCGGGGGCCGGCCGGGGCUGCACCCACCGCCGCUCAGCCGGGAGGAGAAGCGCCGCCGUCGUCGAGCCACGGCCAAGUACCGCUCGGCCCACGCCACGCGGGAGCGGAUCCGCGUGGAGGCCUUCAACCUGGCCUUCGCCGAGCUGCGCAAGCUGCUGCCCACGCUGCCGCCCGACAAGAAGCUCUCCAAGAUCGAGAUCCUGCGCCUGGCCAUCUGCUACAUCUCCUAUCUCAACCACGUCCUGGACGUGUAGCCCCCGCACGCCCGCCCCGACGGCCCCGCGGAGGCCGCAUCGGGACGCGCCGCGCACCGGGAGCCCGGCCCCGAGCGGACCCGGCCGGCUGCGGGGCCGGGCGCAGCCGGUGCCGGGCUCGGGGAGCUUUCCCCGCUCCUCUGCUCCAGAGGCUGAGGCCCGGCGGCGCGGAACGCCCGCGUUUUUGGGCAGAGAGGUGUGAAACCAGAUUGUCUCUUCAGGCUGUCAAGUGCCCCUUUAUAUAUAUCCAAAAACAUCUACUUGUGACCUUAAACGUGUGACCCAUGGGUGCAGUUAAAAAUAACUAUUUUUUAUUUAUGGUAGAAGGAGUGGACAAUUUAUUUUUUUCAAGACUUAUUUAUUUUUCAGAGUGGUGGCAAUUUUACUUUGGAUACUUUGUGCCAAUUGUUUUCUAUAGUCGCGUGUUUACACUUUCUCCUGUGGAAUAUUACGUUUAACUUUAUAAGUGUUUGUUGGGAUCGAUACAGUGUUCCUUUUCCUUUUCUUUUCCUCUUAUUUUUUUUUUUCUUUUCCGAUUAUAUUGCACUUGUGUAUGACAGACCUUCCCUUCCUCCCUGUUUAUAAGUAUAUUUUAUAUAUAUCAAGACAUUUGCUCUUGAACUCUUUUCUUUCUUUCCUUCCUUCCUCCCUUCUUUCUUCCUUCUUUUUCUCUUUCCUUUUUUCUCUUUCCUUCUUUCUUUCCUUCCUUCCUUCUUUCUUUCUAUUUUAUUAUUAUUUUUUGUGCGUGUGUGUGGGAUCAACAACCACUAGCACUUAACUAGAAGAGUUUUUUUAAAACUUGUUGUUAUUCUGAUCUAUAGUUAUGUCUGAAAAGUACUUUGCAAAUCGUUUAUAAGGGAAGUAGUUUUUUUGUGGGUGUAUAUGUGCGUGUGUGCAUACCUGUAUGUGUGUGGGGUUGAGCGUGGGUGUGUAUGUGUGCGGUAUAUUUUUAGGAAAGGACAUUUUUCCUAAAAAAAAAAAAAAAAAAAGGAAGAAGAAGAUGAAGAAGAAGUAAAUCCAGGACUGCUUUCCUUUGUGACAACCAAAAAAUUCUAUAACCUGAAAAUGUUUCAUGUUCUUUGCUGUGAAUCUCUUAAAACAAGAUGCGCAUUUUGGGGACGAGAAAGAAAAAGAAAAAAACCACAUCUGCUAUCCAAAGAUUUUAGUCUUUUUCAGGGUUUUUUUGUGUGUCUCUGUUGCUUUAUAUAAUGCAAUAUUUUGUAGUGAAAAUAGAUAAAUCUGGUUUCUAUCUGAUGCGUUUUUCAUAUCUCUCAUGAAUGGUGAGCUGUUUUGCAUAUAAAUAAAAGUAUCAAAUAAAAGCUGUUUUUUCCUAAUUAUUUUUCCCUGUUGGUCUUUCUAUAAGAUGGAGAUUUGACAGAGUGUAUGGUCUGCCUUGUGAAUA
Cairina moschata (Muscovy duck) is the source of this 4699-nucleotide long non-coding RNA. The record is from Ensembl. Lineage: Eukaryota; Metazoa; Chordata; Aves; Anseriformes; Anatidae.